UACGAAGGCAGCAGUGGGGAAUAUUGCACAAUGGGCGCAAGCCUGAUGCAGCCAUGCCGCGUGUAUGAAGAAGGCCUUCGGGUUGUAAAGUACUUUCAGUCGUGAGGAAGGUGUUAAGGUUAAUAACCUUAGCAAUUGACGUUAGCGACAGAAGAAGCACCGGCUAACUCCGUGCCAGCAGCCGCGGUAAUACGGAGGGUGCGAGCGUUAAUCGGAAUUACUGGGCGUAAAGGGCACGCAGGCGGUUAAUAAGUUGGAUGUGAAAUCCCCGGGCUUAACCUGGGAAUGGCAUUCAAGACUGGUUAGCUAGAGUCUUGUAGAGGGGGUAGAAUUCCAUGUGUAGCGGUGAAAUGCGUAGAGAUGUGGAGGAAUACCGGUGGCGAAGGCGGCCCCUGGGACAAAGACUGACGCUCAUGUGCGAAAGCGUGGGGAGCAAACAGGAUUAGAUACC
RNAcentral lists this ribosomal RNA (451 nucleotides) under uncultured bacterium. Its description in RNAcentral is "bacterial SSU rRNA". It matches the Rfam family "Bacterial small subunit ribosomal RNA", at positions 340 to 786 of the family's 1533-position model. The record is from RNAcentral.